This 253-nucleotide ribosomal RNA is filed under the name uncultured bacterium. RNAcentral describes it as "partial 16S ribosomal RNA". It matches the Rfam family "Bacterial small subunit ribosomal RNA", at positions 524 to 776 of the family's 1533-position model. The record is from RNAcentral.
UACGUAGGGUGCGAGCGUUAAUCGGAAUUACUGGGCGUAAAGGGUGCGCAGGCGGCCGCGCAAGUCGAGUGUGAAAGCCCCGGGCUUAACUUGGGAAUUGCGCUCGAAACUACGUGGCUGGAGUGUGGCAGAGGAAGGUGGAAUUCCACGUGUAGCGGUGAAAUGCGUAGAGAUGUGGAGGAACACCAAUGGCGAAGGCAGCCUUCUGGGCCAACACUGACGCUCAUGCACGAAAGCGUGGGGAGCAAACAGG